GGACAGGUGGUGCAUGGUUGUCGUCAGCUCGUGUCGUGAGAUGUUGGUUAAGUCCCGCAACGAGCGCAACCCUAUUGCUAGUUACCAUCAUUAAGUUGGGGACUCUAGCGAGACUGCCAGUGAUAAACUGGAGGAAGGUGGGGAUGACGUCAAAUCAUCAUGCCCCUUAUGACCUGGGCUACAAACGUGAUACAAUGGCUGGAACAAAGGGAUGCGAAGCAGUGAUGUGGAGCGAAACCCAUAAAAACAGUCUCAGUUCGGAUUGAAGUCUGCAACUCGACUUCAUGAAGUCGGAAUCGCUAGUAAUCGCGGAUCAGAACGCCGCGGUGAAUACGUUCUCGGGGUUU
Molecule: ribosomal RNA, 347 nt
Filed under: uncultured Acholeplasma sp.
Lineage: Bacteria; Bacillati; Mycoplasmatota; Mollicutes; Acholeplasmatales; Acholeplasmataceae
Description: bacterial SSU rRNA
Rfam family: Bacterial small subunit ribosomal RNA
Source: RNAcentral